Molecule: ribosomal RNA, 847 nt
Filed under: Acinetobacter sp. LR32
Lineage: Bacteria; Pseudomonadati; Pseudomonadota; Gammaproteobacteria; Moraxellales; Moraxellaceae
Description: bacterial SSU rRNA
Rfam family: Bacterial small subunit ribosomal RNA
Source: RNAcentral
CACAUGCAAGUCGAGCGGGGUGAUGUGCUUCGGUACUGAUCCUAGCGGCGGACGGGUGAGUAAUGCUUAGGAAUCUGCCAUUUAGUGGGGGACAACAUUCCGAAAGGAAUGCUAAUACCGCAUACGUCCUACGGGAGAAAGCAGGGGAUCUUCGGACCUUGCGCUAAAUGAUGAGCCUAAGUCGGAUUAGCUAGUUGGUGGGGUAAAGGCCUACCAAGGCGACGAUCUGUAGCGGGUCUGAGAGGAUGAUCCGCCACACUGGGACUGAGACACGGCCCAGACUCCUACGGGAGGCAGCAGUGGGGAAUAUUGGACAAUGGGCGGAAGCCUGAUCCAGCCAUGCCGCGUGUGUGAAGAAGGCCUUAUGGUUGUAAAGCACUUUAAGCGAGGAGGAGGCUACUGAGAUUAAUACUCUGGGAUAGUGGACGUUACUCGCAGAAUAAGCACCGGCUAACUCUGUGCCAGCAGCCGCGGUAAUACAGAGGGUGCGAGCGUUAAUCGGAUUUACUGGGCGUAAAGCGUGCGUAGGCGGCUUUUUAAGUCGGAUGUGAAAUCCCCGAGCUUAACUUGGGAAUUGCAUUCGAUACUGGGAAGCUAGAGUAUGGGAGAGGAUGGUAGAAUUCCAGGUGUAGCGGUGAAAUGCGUAGAGAUCUGGAGGAAUACCGAUGGCGAAGGCAGCCAUCUGGCCUAAUACUGACGCUGAGGUACGAAAGCAUGGGGAGCAAACAGGAUUAGAUACCCUGGUAGUCCAUGCCGUAAACGAUGUCUACUAGCCGUUGGGGCCUUUGAGGCUUUAGUGGCGCAGCUAACGCGAUAAGUAGACCGCCUGGGGAGUACGGUCGCAAGA